RNAcentral lists this ribosomal RNA (565 nucleotides) under uncultured bacterium. RNAcentral's name for it is "partial 16S ribosomal RNA". It matches the Rfam family "Bacterial small subunit ribosomal RNA", at positions 355 to 1375 of the family's 1533-position model. The record is from RNAcentral.
UGGGGAAUAUUGGGCAAUGGGCGAAAGCCUGACCCAGCAACGCCGCGUGAUUGAAGAAGGUCUUCGGAUUGUAAAGAUCUGUCCUAUGGGACGAAUAAAGUGACGGUACCAUAGGAGGAAGCCCCGGCUAACUACGUGCCAGCAGCCGCGGUAAUACGUAGGGGGCGAGCGUUGUCCGGAAUUACUGGGCGUAAAGGGUGCGUAGGCGGCGCUUUAAGUCAGAUGUGAAAUACCCGGGCUUAACCUGGGGGGUGCAUCUGAUACUGGAGUGCUUGAGUGCAGGAGAGGAAAGUGGAAUUCCUAGUGUAGCGGUGAAAAUGCGUAGAUAUUAGGAGGAACACCAGUGGCGAAGGCGACUUUCUGGACUGUAACUGACGCUGAGGCACGAAAAGCGUGGGGAGCAAAACAGGAUUAGAUACCCUGGUAGUCCACGCCGUAAAACGAUGGAUCUAGUGUAGGGGGCGAUACCUUCUGUGCCGCAGCAAAGCGCAAUAAGUAUCCCGCCUGGGGAGUACGAUCGCAAGGUUGAAACUCAAAGGAAUUGACGGGGUCAUAGCUGUUUCCU